RNAcentral lists this ribosomal RNA (469 nucleotides) under uncultured bacterium. RNAcentral describes it as "bacterial SSU rRNA". It matches the Rfam family "Bacterial small subunit ribosomal RNA", at positions 329 to 793 of the family's 1533-position model. The record is from RNAcentral.
CGCCAGACUCCUACGGGAGGCAGCAGUGAGGAAUAUUGGUCAAUGGCCGAGAGGCUGAACCAGCCAAGUCGCGUGAGGGAAGACGGCCCUACGGGUUGUAAACCUCUUUUGUCAGGGAGCAGAGGCGUCCACGUGUGGACGAGAGGAGAGUACCUGAAGAAAAAGCAUCGGCUAACUCCGUGCCAGCAGCCGCGGUAAUACGGAGGAUGCGAGCGUUAUCCGGAUUUAUUGGGUUUAAAGGGUGCGUAGGCGGAGUGUCAAGUCAGCGGUAAAAUUUCGGGGCUCAACCCCGUCGUGCCGUUGAAACUGACGCCCUUGAGUGAGUGAGAAGUAAGCGGAAUGCGUGGUGUAGCGGUGAAAUGCAUAGAUAUCACGCAGAACUCCGAUUGCGAAGGCAGCAUACCGGCGCCCAACUGACGCUCAGGCACGAAAGCGUGGGUAUCGAACAGGAUUAGAUACCCUAGUACAG